Molecule: ribosomal RNA, 773 nt
Filed under: uncultured Neocallimastigales
Lineage: Eukaryota; Fungi; Neocallimastigomycota; Neocallimastigomycetes; Neocallimastigales
Description: partial large subunit ribosomal RNA
Rfam family: Eukaryotic large subunit ribosomal RNA
Source: RNAcentral
UACGACUACAUAUCAGGCAUAUCAAUAAGCGGAGGAAAAGAAACUAACAAGGAUUCCCUUAGUAACGGCGAGUGAAGCGGGAAGAGCUCAAAUUUGAAAUCUUCAAGGUUCUACCUUGACGAAUUGUAGUUUAAAGAAGUGUUUUCUGUUAGAUGAGUAGCAAAAGUUCCUUGGAAUGGGACAUCAUAGAGGGUGAGAAUCCCGUAUUUGGUUAUUCAUUCUAGCUUUGUGAUACACUUUCAAAGAGUCGGAUUGUUUGGGAAUGCAGUCCAAAAUGGGUGGUAAAUUUCAUCUAAAGCUAAAUAUUGGCGAGAGACCGAUAGCGAACAAGUACCGUGAGGGAAAGAUGAAAAGAACUUUGAAAAGAGAGUUAAACAGUACGUGAAAUUGUCAAAAGGGAAGCGUUUGACACCAGUGUUGUUUUUCCGAAAAUCAAUUACGAAUGGCUUGAUUUUGUGUUGUAUUGACCUUAUCAGCUUUCUUCACUUUUUUCGAGUCUUUCUUAAUGCACUUUUGGUUAACAAGUCAACAUCAAUUUCUUUUGUUGUAAAAGAGUAUUCGGAAGGUGGCUUUCUUUUCGGAGAAAGUGUUUAUAGCCCUAUACUUCUACAAUCGGAGAGAUUGAGGUCUGCAGCGUAGAUCCUUCGGGGUUAGAUACAUUUGUGCUAAGUUGUAGCUUUUCAUAGACAACUUGUUGACUAUGUUUAGUCAUGCGGCUUACUCGCUUAUGCUAUUUUACCUACGCUUAGGAUGUUGAGUAGCGACAUACGCAC